Small nuclear RNA from Jaculus jaculus (lesser Egyptian jerboa), 107 nucleotides. NCBI's taxonomy places the organism in Eukaryota, Metazoa, Chordata, Mammalia, Rodentia, Dipodidae. The record is from RefSeq and is a predicted model, not a curated record.
GUGCUCGCUUUGGCAGAACAUAUACUAAAAUCGGAACAAUGCAGACAAGACUAGCAUGGCCCCUGUGCAAGGAUGACAUGCAAUUUUGUAAAGCAUUCCAUAUAUUU